This 4497-nucleotide long non-coding RNA is filed under the name Cricetulus griseus (Chinese hamster). Its description in RNAcentral is "lncRNA (ENSCGRG00015039315.1)". The stretch from base 2429 to 2520 matches the Rfam family "Small nucleolar RNA SNORD116". The record is from RNAcentral. Lineage: Eukaryota; Metazoa; Chordata; Mammalia; Rodentia; Cricetidae.
UGCUCCUGCCCUCCUCCUGCAGUAGGCCGACUCCCUCUCUACCGAGGGGGUUGGUGGUUCUUUCCCCCACUCUGCCAGCAAUCACGGCCAUGGUGAAGACAGAGUGUUGACCUAUUGCUGGGAUUCUCCCCUUGCUCUGGCUGACUUGAAAUCCUGAGAGGCAGUGGGUUGAUGUGCUGGCUCCUAGCAGUGGCCCUCAGCCAGAUUGCAGGCUUAGCAGCGGGAGCAGGAAGAACAGAGGCCCCUCUAAAUUGCCCUGCUCAUACUGGAUGGCAGGCCGUGGGUGGAGCCUUCUUCCAAGUCUUCGAGUGGGUUGUAGCCUGGCAGUGUUGCUGCUGACAUAGACUGUCAUGUCCUGGCUGCCGCGCAGUUUGCCCUGGCUCAUGGCUUCUUGUGCUUUGGUGGUUGUGGUCUCUUGAAUUUCAGGGAAUCUGUCAGGUGGAUGAAGGCUGAUGGGGAGGGGUUGUGUGGUUGCAAGCCCAGAAGGUACUCAUGAGUCCUGGUUUUGGAAGGAAAGGAAGAGCCUCCUCAAUGCGAGGGGAUAAAGGAGCCUAAACCAGACUGGCAUUCAGAUUGACAGUCAGCCAUUGGAACCUCAUUUAGCCUCUGCAGAAGGCACCACUGGAAAGCAGACACAUCAGGAUACCUGGAGGUAGCAAAGGUGUUGACCUGUGUAGGAAUCGGUACUCUGGAGUCCUUUGGUUAUGUGGCACUUCUCAUAGACACCGAGGUCAUUCUUGCUGGCCUCCAGGUGGAAGGCAAUGGUGUCAAGAUACUCUUCUGCUAUUCGGGUACUAGUGGCCUGUCUGGACUCUAGGCAAUGUCAAUGUCAGAUAGGACAUGGAUGGUGUUUGGAAGCCUCUGGAGCAAGUUGUGAUUCCUCCCGUGGGGCCUCUCUGGCGGCCAGCUUAGGAAACAAUGGCAGAAAUGCCCUUGAGGUGCAAGGCUGUAUGGAGUUUGGAACUGACUGCCUCAAACCUAUGCUCAUGUGCAGUGGAGUAUGCCCAAGAGACCCUGGAUUGCUGGGAUUCAUUUCUGGUCUUUGGCAGUCUGAGUGUGCACUUUCUCUUGGCAGAACUCAGCCUCCUUGAGUCUCCCCCUCAUAGGAGUUCUUGGGAUGGGAAACACCGAUGCAGUGUCCACAACCUCAGACCUAUUUCAGGGACCCUUGAGGAGUAAGGUGUGUCCCCUAAAGACAGAUGGUCCGAGACGGACAGCAUGCCUUGGAAAAAAGGCACAGAAACAGAAGGAGGUAUGGGAAAGAGAAACACACAUAGACAGGGACAGAGACAGACACAGAGACAGAGACAGAGAUGUGGUGAAAUGGAGACAAACACAUAGAGAAGGAGAUUGUUAAACAAUGUCUGGCAGCCCUGCCAGGUCUUCUGUCACUUGGGAAGAAGGCCUAAGAGGAAACUUUGUCGUGGUCCUAACUGAAGCACCUCAGGUCUUUGGUAGGACAGAGUGUUGUAGAUUUCAGGAGCAUUGCCACAGUAAUAUAGAGGCCUGCCUGGUUUUGAGAUAGAGUUUGAAGGAGGAGGAGGACGAGGCCCAGGGGAAGGCCGACAAUGAGGAGAAAGAGGCAUGGAGAACAAGGCUACAGCUGAUGCUAGCUAGCUUUGAGAUGGAGAGAGCAAGUUGAGUUUGCACUGUCCAGUGACCCCAGGGGACAGGGUUUCAGGGCUGAGGUUUUCCUAGGGGGCCUUUAGGAUGUUUCUUGAAGAGUGUGCUCGCUGCUGUAUCUGAAUGUGUUGUGUUGACAGAAACUGGUUGGUUGACUGCAGGGUGGGGCAAAGAUCCUCUUACAGGCCAAGCAGGAGCUCUUUGGCCCUGGAGCGAACCCGACCAACCUCUGACAAGCAAUGCUGGAGGUGUUGGGCAGAGCAGGAGUGGUGAGACAGCAGAAGUGAUCUCAUCAUCCCAUGGAGACUAGCAAAGAUAAGCCCUCCCAGCUCCAAUUCGACAGUUCCCACUGGAACGGUGACAUGUGCUUUUAUGUGUUCACAGUGUCCCACUCUGGGUCCUGCAUGGCCUGAGUGCACAGAGGAUGGCCCAGCAUCCUUCGCACAGGGCUGGUUGCUCCUGACUAAGCCUCCAGUGAAGUUGCCUGGUGUUGCUGACAUGCCUGAGAAGGCCCGAAGAUGGAAGAUGAAGGUACGCCUCCCAAGAAUUGCCCCAUAUGCUCAGGAUUCUCGGGUCUUGGUGGUGUUGCUAGGUAUUGACCAUUCGUGCAUCCGGGCCUGUGUGCACGUGUAACAGACUUAGGUGCUCAAGGUGCUGCCCGGUUGCUUGCAGAGGCCCAUUGCAGUGUGUUCGCCUUCCUGGUCUGGGGCACUUGUUGAUAUUUCUUCUGGCACCCCACCAACACCCGCGCUGUCCAUGAGUGUCUGUGCUGAAUAUCUGGAUGCAAGGGCACUGCAGCGUGCAUGGAUCGAUGAUGAUUCAAGUCAAACAUUCCUUGGAAAAGCUGAACAAAAUGAGUGAAAUCUCAGUUCGCCUCUCUCAUCGGGACUGAGGUCUGGCACCUUGGGUCCCCCACGUCCUCCGGGAGUCAGACACAGGCUUGGGAACCACUCCACUGCUCCUGCCCUCCUCCUGCAGUAGGCCGACUCCCUCUCUACCGAGGGGGUUGGUGGUUCUUUCCCCCACUCUGGCAGCAAUCACGGCCAUGGUGAAGACAGAGUGUUGACCUAUUGCUGGGAUUCUCCCCUUGCUCUGACUGACUGAGAGGCAGUGGGUUGAUGUGCUGGCUCCUAGCAGUGGCCCUCAGCCAGAUUGCAGGCUUAGCAGCGGGAGCAGGAAGAACAGAGGCCCCUCUAAUUUGCCCUGCUCAUACUGGAUGGCAGGCCCUGGGUGGAGCCUUCUUCCAAGUCUUAGAGUGGGUUGUAGCCUGGCUGUGUUGCUGCUGACAUAGACUCUCAUGUCCUGGCUGCCGCGCAGUUUGCCCUGGCUCAUGGCUUCUUGUGCUUUGGUGGUUGUGGUCUCUUGAAUUUCGGGGAAUCUGUCAGGUGGAUGAAGGCUGAUGGGGAGGUGUUGUGUGGUUGCAAGCCCAGAAGGUACUCAUGAGUCCUGGUUUUGGAAGGAAAGGAAGAGCCUCCUCAAUGCGAGGGGAUAAAGGAGCCUAAACCAGACUGGCAUUCAGAUUGACAGUCAGCCAUUGGAACCUCAUUUAGCCUCUGCAGAAGGCACCACUGGAAAGCAGACACAUCAGGAUACCUGGAGGUAGCAAAGGUGUUGACCUGUGUAGGAAUCGGUACUCUGGAGCCUUUGGUUAUGUGGCACUUCUCAUAGACACCGAGGUCAUUCUUGCUGGCCUCCAGGUGGAAGGCAAUGGUGUCAAGAUACUCUUCUGCUAUUCGGGUACUAGUGGCCUGUCUGGACUCUAGGCAAUGUCAAUGCCAGAUAGGACAUGGAUGGUGUUUGGAAGCCUCUGGAGCAAGUUGUGAUUCCUCCCGAGGGGCCUCUCUGGCGGCCAGCUUAGGAAACAAUGGCAGAAAUGCCCUUGAGGUGCAAGGCUGUAUGGAGUUUGGAACUGACUGCCUCAAACCUAUGCUCAUGUGCAGUGGAGUAUGCCCAAGAGACCCUGGAUUGCUGGGUUGCAUUUCUGGUCUUUGGCAGUCUGAGUGUGCACUUUCUCUUGGCAGAACUCAGCCUCCUUGAGUCUCCCCCUCAUAGGAGUUCUUGGGAUGGGAAACACCGAUGCAGUGUCCACAACCUCAGACCUAUUUCAGGGACCCUUGAGGAGUAAGGUGUGUCCCCUAAAGACAGAUGGUCCGAGACGGACAGCAUGCCUUGGAAAAAAGGCACAGAAACAGAAGGAGGUAUGGGAAAGAGAAACACACAUAGACAGGGACAGAGACAGAGACAGAGACAGAGACAGAGAUGUGGUGAAAUGGAGACAAACACAUAGAGAAGGAGAUUGUUAAACAAUGUCUGGCAGCCCUGCCAGGUCUUCUGUCACUUGGGAAGAAGGCCUAAGAGGAAACUUUGUCGUGGUCUGACCUGAAGCACCUCAGGUCUUUGGUAGGACAGAGUGUUGUAGAUUUCAGGAGCAUUGCCACAGUAAUAUAGAGGCCUGCCUGGUUUUGAGAUAGAGUUUGAAGGAGGAGGAGGACGAGGCCCAGGGGAAGGCCGACAAUGAGGAGAAUGAGGCAUGGAGAACAAGGCUACAGCUGAUGCUAGCUAGCUUUGAGAUGGAGAGAGCAAAUUGAGUUUGCACUGUCCAGUGACCCCAGGGGACAGGGUUUCCGGGCUGAGGUUUUCCUAGGGGGCCUUUAGGAUGUUUCUUGAAGAGUGUGCUCGCUGCUGUCGAGGUAUCUGGAUGUGUUGUGUUGCCAGAAACUUGUUGGUUGACUGCAGGGUAGGGCAAACAUCCUCUUACAGGCCAAGCAGGAGCUCUUGGGCCCUGGAGCGAACCCGGCCUACCUCUGACAAGCCAUGCUGGAGGUUUUGGGCAGAGCAGGAGUGGUGAGACAGCAGAAGUGAUCUGAUCAUCCC